CUUUGAGGUUGAUUAUUUAUUAGUUUAUUAUUUAUUAUAUAUGAUAUUAUCAUAAAAUAGUUCAUGUUUAGUUUCAUUAGUUGUAUAUUAGUGUGAAUAUUUAAUUAUAUAACUUAAAAGAAUGGCAGCGCCCUAUUUGUGACAUAUUAUUCACAACAUAAAAAAUGUGUGUUUCACACAACCAAUUAUGACAAUUUUGUGUUGUUAGCUUUAAAUUUUAAUAUCAGAGUGAACUGACUUAAAAUAGUGGUAUUUAAAAUUAUAUUCAAGUAAUGAAUUAUUUUAUACCUAUAUUAAAUUUUAAAAAUACUCGUAUUACCUACCUAUAUCGCAGAAACACUGAAAUAUUGUGAUAAAGACAACUUACAAAAUACAAACCCAUAUUUUCUUAACUGUUCACUGAAACCUAUACUGGCUACUUGAACGCAAUAAUAUUAUUAUUUUUGAUAAUUAUUGUAUUAACAUCAAACAUUACACCCACUUGCCACUUACCAUGAUCAAAAAAGACAUCUCCAUGUUAUUGUAGAAUAAGUAUAAUUUUUAAAAUAUAUUCAGUUUAUAAGGAUACUUAAAACAGUAAAACCUAUAACUUUACUUUAAGUCCAAACCAAUACAAUACUAAUUGAAGAAAUUUUGCUAAAAUUAAAAUAUCCACAUAUGCAAGAUUCCUGGACAUUUACAGGUGGCCCUUUUUCCGUGCCAGCUACAGUCAAUUUAUUUCUAUCUAUAACCAAAUACCUAAUUUAAGGAACCAUAUAACAUAUUAUAUUAUAAUAUAUUAUAAUAUGUACUAAAAUAUAUUUUAUGCCAUCAUAUAAUAUUAUAUUAAGACACAUUUCAACUUCCCUUCACCCUUCUAUACACUUCUAUAAUUCUUAUAAUUUAUAAUAAUAUAUUAAUAUAUUUUUCAAUCUAUUCGGUUAGUCAAUUCUACAAAUUUG
This is a long non-coding RNA of Acyrthosiphon pisum (pea aphid), 941 nucleotides long. RefSeq lists it as uncharacterized. The record is from RefSeq and is a predicted model, not a curated record. The transcript has 4 exons. NCBI's taxonomy places the organism in Eukaryota, Metazoa, Arthropoda, Insecta, Hemiptera, Aphididae.